RNAcentral lists this transfer RNA (76 nucleotides) under Desulfobacteraceae bacterium. Its description in RNAcentral is "tRNA-His". It matches the Rfam family "tRNA". Rfam says of the family: Transfer RNA (tRNA) molecules are approximately 80 nucleotides in length. Their secondary structure includes four short double-helical elements and three loops (D, anti-codon, and T loops). Further hydrogen bonds mediate the characteristic L-shaped molecular structure. tRNAs have two regions of fundamental functional importance: the anti-codon, which is responsible for specific mRNA codon recognition, and the 3' end, to which the tRNAs corresponding amino acid is attached (by aminoacyl-tRNA synthetases). tRNAs cope with the degeneracy of the genetic code in two manners: having more than one tRNA (with a specific anti-codon) for a particular amino acid; and 'wobble' base-pairing, i.e. permitting non-standard base-pairing at the 3rd anti-codon position. Lineage: Bacteria; Pseudomonadati; Thermodesulfobacteriota; Desulfobacteria; Desulfobacterales; Desulfobacteraceae. The record is from RNAcentral.
GUGGGUGUAGCUCAGCUGGCAGAGCACCAGGUUGUGGCCCUGGGUGUCGUGGGUUCAAGCCCCAUCACUCACCCCA